Molecule: ribosomal RNA, 392 nt
Filed under: uncultured bacterium
Lineage: Bacteria
Description: bacterial SSU rRNA
Rfam family: Bacterial small subunit ribosomal RNA
Source: RNAcentral
AACGAACGCUGGCGGCGCGCCUAAUACAUGCAAGUCGAGCGAGAAGACGUAGCAAUACGUUUGUAAAGCGGCGAACGGGUGAGGAAUACAUGGGGUAACCUACCCUCGAGUGGGGAAGUAACUAGCCGAAAGGUUAGCUAAUACCGCGUACGCUCCUUGGACUUCGGUUCAGGGAGGAAAGCGAUACCGUGGGUAUCGCGCUCUUGGAUGGGCUCAUGUCCUAUCAGCUUGUUGGUGAGGAACGGCUCACCAAGGCUUCGACGGGUAGCUGGUCUGAGAGGACGAUCAGCCACACUGGCACUGCGACACGGGCCAGACUCCUACGGGAGGCAGCAGUAAGGAAUAUUGCGCAAUGGGCGAAAGCCUGACGCAGCGACGCCGCGUGGGGGAGU